AUUGAACGCUGGCGGAAUGCUUUACACAUGCAAGUCGAACGGUAGAGGGGGCAACCCCUUGAGAGUGGGCGAACGGGUGAGUAAUAUAUCGGAACGUGCCCAGUCGUGGGGAUAACGUAGCGAAAGUUACGCUAAUACCGCAUACGAUCUAAGGAUGAAAGCGGGGGAUCGCAAGACCUCGCGCGAUUGGAGCGGCCGAUAUCAGAUUAGGUAGUUGGUGAGGUAAAGGCUCACCAAGCCAACGAUCUGUAGCUGGUCUGAGAGGACGACUAGCCACACUGGAACUGAGACACGGUCCAGACUCCUACGGGAGGCAGCAGUGGGGAAUUUUGGACAAUGGGCGCAAGCCUGAUCCAGCAAUGCCGCGUGCAGGAUGAAGGCCUUCGGUUGUAACU
Molecule: ribosomal RNA, 395 nt
Filed under: uncultured bacterium
Lineage: Bacteria
Description: bacterial SSU rRNA
Rfam family: Bacterial small subunit ribosomal RNA
Source: RNAcentral